GGCACCAGAGCAGCGUCGCUGCGGCGCGCAGGUGACGUCAGGAAAGCGGUGGGCGGAGGCCAUGGGGAGUAGCAGUGGCUGCCGCGAGGCUCCGGUAGCAGUGCCUGGGCCAGGCAGGGAAGGUUUGCAUCGUGUAAACUAACUAAGGGGGGCGAUGAAUGUUGAUUCUCCAUUGAGUCCAGCUUCCACCAACCCAUCCCACAUCUUUGAGGAUCCAUAUUCCCCCUUCUUUCUGCUCUGCUCCUUCCCUUUACCUUCCACUCCUCUGCAGCGCAGCAGGGAUGCUUGCAGUGGCACCGGAUCAGAGGGAAUAACUGCACCACUCCCCGGAUGACGUGAGCUGAAGCAGGCAAACACAGUGUCCUGCCAGCAGAGCUGUGUCUACACCAGGCCCUGUGUCCACACCUGGCCCUUUGUCGGAGCAGCUGGGUCAGCUGAGGGCUCCAGGAGGCCUUUGAGGACGUGGCGCUGUACUUCACCCAGAAGGAGUGGGAGCUGCUGGGAGAUGGAGACAAGGUGCUUUACUGGGACCAGAUGCUGAGGAAUUACCAAGCCCUUGUUUCUCUGGGUAAAGUUCUGUUUCUGUUACUCUCUGUGAGCUCAGAAAUGUUUCCUUUGUCUCCUGGUUCUUCUACAGUCUUCUCAUGAAGUUUGGGUCUCUGGUUUAAAUCUGUUUUCUCCUCUGUUCUGCCAUUGAUCAGAGAGACAUUGUUAGCUAUGUUAGUCUGAAGUCAAGUAGAUUUGCACCUUCUCUAGACUGGGGGUACUUGGCAAGGGCCCAGGAGGUAUGCGGCAUUGGCGUGGUGAAGAGGGGGCACUUCUGGUUUUGCUGCAGGGGGUCCCCCCCCCCAAACUCAUUGAUCAGCUGCUGGGGGACACCCCCUCCCCCACAGCUUGUCAACUGGCUGGGGGACUCCCUGCUCCUUGACUAGCCACCAGCCAUACACCAACCAAAAAAGGUUGAAAACCCCUGUUCUAGACUAACCAAAGUAGGGAGGUAGAUAGAGGCAAACCUCAUUAAUUCAAAACAGGACCAAAAAUUACCAACUUUGAAAUAAAUGGGCUUGAAAUAAAUUUACCCAUAGUAAUUUACAUAUAUCCAAAUUACUGUACAGGCAGUCCUCAACUUACAACAUUUCGACUUACAACAUUUUGCACUUACAACAUUUAUAAAUUGACACCCUGUUUCAACUUUCUGACAUCAGUUUUGACUUUA
Molecule: long non-coding RNA, 1216 nt
Organism: Alligator sinensis (Chinese alligator)
Lineage: Eukaryota; Metazoa; Chordata; Crocodylia; Alligatoridae
Exons: 4
Source: RefSeq, a predicted model, not a curated record